This 253-nucleotide ribosomal RNA is filed under the name uncultured bacterium. RNAcentral's name for it is "partial 16S ribosomal RNA". It matches the Rfam family "Bacterial small subunit ribosomal RNA", at positions 524 to 776 of the family's 1533-position model. The record is from RNAcentral.
UACGUAGGUGGCAAGCGUUGUCCGGAUUUACUGGGCGUAAAGAGCGCGCAGGCGGUCGUUCAAGUCGCGUGUGAAAGCCCCCGGCUCAACUGGGGAGGGUCACGCGAUACUGAUCGACUCGAAGGCAGGAGAGGGACGCGGAAUUCCAGGUGUAGCGGUGAAAUGCGUAGAUAUCUGGAGGAACACCGGUGGCGAAGGCGGCGUCCUGGACCAACACUGACACUGAUGAGCGAAAGCCAGGGGAGCAAACGGG